GUAAUCUCAGUGCUAUGCCACUUUCACCACUUCUGCUCUUAGUGAUGAGAAGCUGGAUUCCAGCAAGAUCAGAUCACUGGAGUUGUGACAGCUGCCAACAAGAAGCAUCCUGGGGCAUGCUAACAGAGACCUUGGAUGCUCUGAGACUCACAUGCCAAUCAAAAGAAAUUCUUAAUAAACAAAGAAAUCUUCCCUUUGAAAUCUAGAGAGAAUCAUGCUGGAGUGCAGCAGGUGCCCUCUAUCUAAGGAUAUUUGACAGAAAGCACCUAGAAUGAAGGACUGAAGGGUGACAGGACAGAAGAACAGAGUUGGCCAUGACUUUGUGAAUACCUCUGCUGACCAUGGAGAAAGGAAGUAUCUAAUGUCCUGGCUCCCCAUACCUCCAUGCCACUCUGCUCUAACAUGGACAUGUUCUGACUCAUUAAAUGAGUCCUCUGGAAUAGCUGGCCAAAUGAUGUCAGCUGUCUGUUUCUCAUCCUCUGCUUUUAUCUUGCCCAUUCAAUCACUGUAUUAAAGAAGAA
Molecule: long non-coding RNA, 521 nt
Organism: Cygnus olor (mute swan)
Lineage: Eukaryota; Metazoa; Chordata; Aves; Anseriformes; Anatidae
Exons: 3
Source: RefSeq, a predicted model, not a curated record